AAGACCAAAGAGGGGGACCUUCGGGCCUCUUGCCAUCGGAUGUGCCCAGAUGGGAUUAGCUAGUAGGUGGGGUAACGGCUCACCUAGGCGACGAUCCCUAGCUGGUCUGAGAGGAUGACCAGCCACACUGGAACUGAGACACGGUCCAGACUCCUACGGGAGGCAGCAGUGGGGAAUAUUGCACAAUGGGCGCAAGCCUGAUGCAGCCAUGCCGCGUGUAUGAAGAAAGCCUUCGGGUUGUAAAGUACUUUCAGCGGGGAGGAAGGCGAURAGGUUAAUAACCUUGUCGAUUGACGUUACCCGCAGAAGAAGCACCGGCUAACUCCGUGCCAGCAGCCGCGGUAAUACGGAGGGUGCAAGCGUUAAUCGGAAUUACUGGGCGUAAAGCGCACGCAGGCGGUCUGUCAAGUCGGAUGUGAAAUUCCCGGGCUCAACCUGGGAACUGCAUUCGAAACUGGCAGGCUAGAGUCUUGUAGAGGGGGGUAGAAUUCCAGGUGUAGCGGUGAAAUGCGUAGAGAUCUGGAGGAAUACCGGUGGCGAAGGCGGCCCCCUGGACAAAGACUGACGCUCAGGUGCGAAA
This 580-nucleotide ribosomal RNA is filed under the name uncultured bacterium. RNAcentral's name for it is "bacterial SSU rRNA". It matches the Rfam family "Bacterial small subunit ribosomal RNA", at positions 197 to 758 of the family's 1533-position model. The record is from RNAcentral.